AGUGAACGCUGGCGGUAGGCCUAACACAUGCAAGUCGAACGGCAGCACAGUAAGAGCUUGCUCUUACGGGUGGCGAGUGGCGGACGGGUGAGUAAUACAUCGGAAUCUACUUUUUCGUGGGGGAUAACGUAGGGAAACUUACGCUAAUACCGCAUACGACCUACGGGUGAAAGCAGUGGAUCUUCGGACCUUGCGCGAUUGAAUGAGCCGAUGUCGGAUUAGCUAGUUGGCGGGGUAAAGGCCCACCAAGGCGACGAUCCGUAGCUGGUCUGAGAGGAUGAUCAGCCACACUGGAACUGAGACACGGUCCAGACUCCUACGGGAGGCAGCAGUGGGGAAUAUUGGACAAUGGGCGCAAGCCUGAUCCAGCCAUACCGCGUGGGUGAAGAAGGCCUUCGGGUUGUAAAGCCCUUUUGUUGGGAAAGAAAAGCAGCAGGUUAAUACCCCGCUGUUCUGACGGUACCCAAAGAAUAAGCACCGGCUAACUUCGUG
This 492-nucleotide ribosomal RNA is filed under the name uncultured bacterium. Its description in RNAcentral is "partial 16S ribosomal RNA". It matches the Rfam family "Bacterial small subunit ribosomal RNA", at positions 29 to 507 of the family's 1533-position model. The record is from RNAcentral.